This 253-nucleotide ribosomal RNA is filed under the name uncultured prokaryote. RNAcentral's name for it is "partial 16S ribosomal RNA". It matches the Rfam family "Bacterial small subunit ribosomal RNA", at positions 524 to 776 of the family's 1533-position model. The record is from RNAcentral.
UACGUAGGGUGCGAGCGUUAAUCGGAAUUACUGGGCGUAAAGCGUGCGCAGGCGGUUCGUUAAGUCAGAUGUGAAAGCCCCGGGCUCAACCUGGGAACUGCAUUUGAAACUGGCGGGCUUGAGUAUGGCAGAGGGGGGUGGAACUCCGCGUGUAGCAGUGAAAUGCGUAGAUAUGUGGAGGAACACCGAUGGCGAAGGCAGCCCCCUGGGUCAAAACUGACGCUCAUGCACGAAAGCGUGGGGAGCAAACAGG